Molecule: long non-coding RNA, 1508 nt
Organism: Orcinus orca (killer whale)
Lineage: Eukaryota; Metazoa; Chordata; Mammalia; Artiodactyla; Delphinidae
Exons: 2
Source: RefSeq, a predicted model, not a curated record
AGUGCCCUAAGUUCUGAAUGUUUGCUAUCUGGGUCGCCUAGUGAGGCGGCAGGAGGAAAAGGUGGCUUCUCUGUUCGGUUUUCCCUCGGGCGGAAGUCCUGUCGCCCAGUCCUUAGGAAAAUAUCCAACUGCCUUUAUGGAAGAUUGCGUGCGUGCGUUCCCUCCUCCGUGCUGCAAUCGGAGUCCCGGACGGCCUCGCAAGGGUGGAGAAGUUAACUACAUGAUGACCAGACUGUGUCCAUGACAUCAGCUGCCACAAUUCCGAGAACUGCCUUCAAGAAAUGGAAACAAACCAACCCUGGAACUGAAGAUUAACUGUACUUAAAACAAGAUGACGCUGGUCAGAUCCCUGAUGACCAAUUUCAAAAUGACUGUCAGAGCUGACUGUGCUGUUUCUGCAUGUAGCCCCCUCCCUUCACCUAUAAAAGCUCUUACCCCCUGAUUGUCAGUGGGGGGAAGUCAGCCUUUGGACAGGAGUACGCCCUCCGCCCGGUUGCCGGCAUCCAAAAUAAAGCAGACCAACCUUGCCUCUUUAUUGGCUUUUGAGGGGAGAGUAGCCAGACCCCAUUUUCAGUUACGGUAGGAUGUGUGGACAUGGAGGCACUGGUGAAGUGAGGGUGUGGUUGGCAGCACUUCAUGUCAGAGCUUGAUGUUUGUGAAGAUCUUGGCUUUUUAUUGGAGUGAGGUGGGAAGUCAAUGGAAGGUUCUGAGCCAGGCUCACUCUGGCUGCUGUGUAGGGAGACAGCAGCAAGAUCAAGGUGAUCAUAGGGAGGUCAGUCAGAAGUCUACUGCAGUAUUUAACUGAGAGAUUAAGAGUGGCUCAGAGCAGCGUGUUAGCAGUGUUGGUGGUGGCGAGUGGCCAUGUUUUUGUACGUGGGGCUUGCUGAUGGAUUGGAUGUGGGGUGAGAGAAGAGAGGUGUCAGGGAUGACUGCAAGGUUUUGGGCUUGGGUGAAAGGAAGGCUACAGUUAUCACCUGAGAGGGAAAGGAGCUGGAUUGGAGAUAAUUUAUAUGUUCCUCCAUUAGGUACAAAAUCUCACGUGAGUGCACUCGGGUAUAAUGAAGUUCUGGAGGUAAAUGAAGACGUUAAGAAUCAACUUUGGGAAGGCUAUGCAGUAAGGAUGGUGUUGAGGUAAACGAGUUACAUCUCCUUUUAUAUACAUUAAGUGACUGGUGUAGAAAACACUUUACAGCCAAAUCUGAUAACCCUUAAAUUCUUUAAUUUCCUUCUAAUCAGGGAUGGGCAGAGAUAUGAGAAAACAUGGAUAAAGAGCUAUGCAGGCAAAACUCAGUCACGGGUACCAGAGACCUUCAUUAUGAAUUAGGGUAACAAAACUUUUAUUUUUGCAAAAUUAUUGUUUUCCAUAAUGGCUGCUUUUGUAGUCAUUAUUGUGAUUGAGUGUUAUAUACAAUGAAUAUUUGGUUCUAAGAAACAAACAAAAAACCUGCUGAUGGAAAGAAUGUGUACAUGCUUGUUGAGCUGUUUAAUAAAUAACUAUUUGAUGAUGA